GCACGGCCUCCGCCGAGUCCGACGCGCCGCCGUGCGCCCGGAGCCGGGGACCCACCGACCUUGGGGUGAAUCGACCCGACUCCCUUCCAGGGAGCGGCCGUAGGGCAAACCUUCCUAACCACCCGCCCGAACCCGACAGCUAACUCGGUAGGCGGAACGUGGAAGGAGUC
This 170-nucleotide small RNA is filed under the name Streptomyces sp. Its description in RNAcentral is "c-di-AMP sequence". It matches the Rfam family "c-di-AMP riboswitch aptamer (ydaO/yuaA leader)". From Rfam's summary of the family: This family represents a conserved RNA structure found upstream of the ydaO and yuaA genes in Bacillus subtilis and related genes in other bacteria. Lineage: Bacteria; Bacillati; Actinomycetota; Actinomycetes; Kitasatosporales; Streptomycetaceae. The record is from RNAcentral.